This 426-nucleotide ribosomal RNA is filed under the name Smeringopina sp. DNA100446438. RNAcentral describes it as "partial 16S ribosomal RNA". It matches the Rfam family "Bacterial large subunit ribosomal RNA", at positions 1828 to 2597 of the family's 2925-position model. Lineage: Eukaryota; Metazoa; Arthropoda; Arachnida; Araneae; Pholcidae. The record is from RNAcentral.
AGCUUUAAGAAAUCAUUUAAAGUAAAACCUGCUCAAUGAUAAUUUAAAUAGCCGCAGUUUAAACUGUGCUAAGGUAGCAUAAUAACUUGCUUCUUAAUUAGAAGAUAGAAUGAAUGGUUAAACGAAGAAAAACUGUCUCAUAAAUUAAAAUUAACUUAAAAUAUUAGUAAAAAUUCUAAUAUACAUAUGAAAGACGACAAGACCCUGACAAACUUUAUAUUCAGUUGGGGCAACAAAAUAAAUACACCUUAUAACACCUUAUAUAACUAUAAAAUAUAAUAUGAUAUAGUUACUGCAGGGAUAACAGCGCAAUUCUUUUUUAGAGUUCUAAUUGGAAAAAGACAUUACGACCUCGAUGUUGAAUUAGUUUUCCUUAAUGGUGCAAAAGCUAUUAAGGUGGGGUCUGUUCGACCAACAUUUAAAACU